AACGAACGCUGGCGGCAGGCCUAACACAUGCAAGUCGAACGCCCCUUCGGGGGAGUGGCAGACGGGUGAGUAACACGUGGGAACGUGCCCUUCGGUCUGGGAUAACUCAUGGAAACGUGAGCUAAUACCGGAUACGCCCUUCGGGGGAAAGAUUUAUCGCUGAAGGAUCGGCCCGCGUCGGAUUAGCUUGUUGGUGAGGUAACGGCUCACCAAGGCGACGAUCCGUAGCUGGUCUGAGAGGAUGAUCAGCCAUACUGGGACUGAGACACGGCCCAGACUCCUACGGGAGGCAGCAGUGAGGAAUAUUGGACAAUGGGCGCAAAACCUGAUCCAGCCAUGCCGCGUGAGUGAUG
This 353-nucleotide ribosomal RNA is filed under the name uncultured Alphaproteobacteria bacterium. RNAcentral's name for it is "bacterial SSU rRNA". It matches the Rfam family "Bacterial small subunit ribosomal RNA", at positions 29 to 410 of the family's 1533-position model. Lineage: Bacteria; Pseudomonadati; Pseudomonadota; Alphaproteobacteria. The record is from RNAcentral.